Molecule: ribosomal RNA, 253 nt
Filed under: uncultured bacterium
Lineage: Bacteria
Description: partial 16S ribosomal RNA
Rfam family: Bacterial small subunit ribosomal RNA
Source: RNAcentral
UACGUAGGGGGCAAGCGUUGUCCGGAAUCAUUGGGCGUAAAGAGCGUGUAGGCGGCCCGCUAAGUCCGCUGUGAAAGUCCAGGGCUCAACCCUGGAAUGCCGGUGGAUACUGUCGGGCUCGAAUCCGGAAGAGGUGAGUGGAAUUCCUGGUGUAGCGGUGAAAUGCGUAGAUAUCUGGAGGAAUACCGGUGGCGAAGGCGGCAUCCUGGACCGAGAUUGACGCUGAUGAGCGAAAGCUAGGGGAGCAAACGGG